Molecule: long non-coding RNA, 1286 nt
Organism: Daphnia pulex (common water flea)
Lineage: Eukaryota; Metazoa; Arthropoda; Branchiopoda; Diplostraca; Daphniidae
Exons: 2
Source: RefSeq, a predicted model, not a curated record
GAGGAUGAACAAGAACAAGUCGCCCCAACUUAUAUAUGCAGUGAGAUAGUUGGAACGAAAUCGUGCCCGUCUGAUUGCAGAUGCAUAAAAACCAGGUUGUUGCUUGUUGACAGACUGUUCAGGUUUUUACAGGGUGAAACGAUGGGAAUGUUUUUUUGUUUUUUGUUUUUUGUUUUUUUUUACAGCGGGAAUUGAAGAGGUGGAGGUCAGUUAACAUUAUGCGGGCAUUGUGUGUGGUUCGUUCACUACAAUUUUCUUGAAACGCUGUGAUUAUGUGGAGGAAAAAAAAGAGAAUAGCUCUCAUCCUAUUAUAAACAAGACACGAUGGUGGUAGGGUAAGGGAGUCCACUGGCCGCGUAAAUUAUUGUUAAACGAGAAAAAGGAUAUAAUAAGAGCUGGAAGAAGACGAGUCAUCAAUUCAUCAACCUGCACUUUUAACUGAAGGGCAACCGAAGGGCGAACUUCGUCACAAAGUCGUAAAGAUGAUGAUGGCCGUGGCCCGUUGUUAAGACUUCACGUCAGGCGUCAGGCGAUGAACGAUUAUGAAACUUAUAAGAACACGAAGGACGUAUACCGCUUGUACACAUCCUGGUGCUGUCGACGGAGGUUCAAGGAUAAUAGCCACCGCCCGCCUCCUUUUCAUAAAACUGCGUGAAGAAUUUCGUGAUUACGCUGCGUGCGGCUAGUGUCUUCUUGAAAGAAAAAAUAAAAUAAAAAUUACGGCACUAAUAAAUUGAAAUGCGAGCCCGCAUGUCUUGAAAAUAUUCUAAUUGCUUUAUUGUAUCAUCACAAUUAUUUCAAAAAUGAAGCGGAUAAAAUAAGACGGCGGCUGAGCACAAUGGCGUGUGUGACGUCAGAAAGGAAGUAAAGGGCAAAUUAAUCUGCUUAUAGACCUGCCGCCGCCGCAGCAUCAGCCGUCCUUUAUUUCUUUGUAACAUCUAAGCGCCUCAAAUCCAUUCUUCACACAGUCCUUCAGCAGCAGCAGUCGGUGAAUGCUGCGCACUUAUUCAACGCGUACGCACCGCUUUCAAUCAAUGCGAUCAAGGAAAUCCAGCCGAGAGCCGACACACGGGUGCUAUAGCAGCGUCGAAGAAAAGCGUAUCACUCGAUUGCACUGCCACUUCCGCCUCUUGACACUGUGAAAAAAAGGCCGUUGCCUGAGUUUCUCUUGUGUGAAGGCACAAUUGCACGGGCUGCGUGAGUUGGACGUGCUGAUAAGAAUAAGACGUGACAAAAUAAACUUGGCUCCAGCUUAACAAUCCAAUAAAAUGUACAAAUCUCUCGAG